AUGGCGAAGGCCGGCGGGGGCCUGAUCUGGGCGACGGCGGAGGACCUGGCGCGGAACCGGCCGGUGGUGCUGUCCAUGUACCGGCAGAUCCUGCGGGCGCUCAACUCGCCGGCGCUGCCGCUGGGCCACGCGGCGCGGCUGGCCAAGAAGGCCGAGUGCCGCGCCAUCUUCAUCUUCGGCGCCGAGGAGAGGUCGCUGCACAACAUCCAGGACCUCCUCGCCGCCGCGCGCCACACCCUCGGCCUCCUCAACCGCGGCCGCGUCCCCUAG
RNAcentral lists this ribosomal RNA (270 nucleotides) under Triticum aestivum (bread wheat). RNAcentral describes it as "partial small subunit ribosomal RNA". Lineage: Eukaryota; Viridiplantae; Streptophyta; Magnoliopsida; Poales; Poaceae. The record is from RNAcentral.